GGAUGUGAGGGCAAUCUGGCUGCGACAUCUAUCACCCCACUGAUCGCCAGGGUUGAUUCGGCUGAUCUGGCUGUCUAGGCGGGUGUCCCCUUUCUCCCUCACCGCUCCAUGGGCGUCCCUCCUGAAGCUGCGCGCUCGGUCGAAGAGGACGACCAUCCCUGCAAGAGGAGGACCGUUGUUCGGUCAAGAGUAUACGAGUAGCUGCGCUCCCCUGCUAGAACCUCCAAAGAACUGCAAAAGAGGCCAGGCUCGGUGGGUCAGCCUGUAAUCCCAGCACUUU
This 280-nucleotide small nuclear RNA is filed under the name Carlito syrichta (Philippine tarsier). Its description in RNAcentral is "7SK RNA (ENSTSYG00000032594.1)". It matches the Rfam family "7SK RNA", at positions 1 to 294 of the family's 331-position model. From Rfam's summary of the family: 7SK was discovered as an abundant small nuclear RNA in the mid-70s but a possible function has only recently been suggested. Two independent studies have found that 7SK RNA binds the CDK9/cyclin T complex (known as elongation factor P-TEFb). Lineage: Eukaryota; Metazoa; Chordata; Mammalia; Primates; Tarsiidae. The record is from RNAcentral.